RNAcentral lists this ribosomal RNA (941 nucleotides) under Leuconostoc mesenteroides. RNAcentral describes it as "bacterial SSU rRNA". It matches the Rfam family "Bacterial small subunit ribosomal RNA", at positions 53 to 976 of the family's 1533-position model. The record is from RNAcentral. Lineage: Bacteria; Bacillati; Bacillota; Bacilli; Lactobacillales; Lactobacillaceae.
ACUUGCAGUUCGAACGCACAGCGAAAGGGUGCUUGCACCUUUCAAGUGAGUGGCGAACGGGUGAGUAACACGUGGACAACCUGCCUCAAGGCUGGGGAUAACAUUUGGAAACAGAUGCUAAUACCGAAUAAAACUUAGUGUCGCAUGACACAAAGUUAAAAGGCGCUUCGGCGUCACCUAGAGAUGGAUCCGCGGUGCAUUAGUUAGUUGGUGGGGUAAAGGCCUACCAAGACAAUGAUGCAUAGCCGAGUUGAGAGACUGAUCGGCCACAUUGGGACUGAGACACGGCCCAAACUCCUACGGGAGGCUGCAGUAGGGAAUCUUCCACAAUGGGCGAAAGCCUGAUGGAGCAACGCCGCGUGUGUGAUGAAGGCUUUCGGGUCGUAAAGCACUGUUGUAUGGGAAGAACAGCUAGAAUAGGAAAUGAUUUUAGUUUGACGGUACCAUACCAGAAAGGGACGGCUAAAUACGUGCCAGCAGCCGCGGUAAUACGUAUGUCCCGAGCGUUAUCCGGAUUUAUUGGGCGUAAAGCGAGCGCAGACGGUUUAUUAAGUCUGAUGUGAAAGCCCGGAGCUCAACUCCGGAAUGGCAUUGGAAACUGGUUAACUUGAGUGCAGUAGAGGUAAGUGGAACUCCAUGUGUAGCGGUGGAAUGCGUAGAUAUAUGGAAGAACACCAGUGGCGAAAGCGGCUUACUGGACUGCAACUGACGUUGAGGCUCGAAAGUGUGGGUAGCAAACAGAUUAGAUACCCUGGUAGUCCACACCGUAAACGAUGAACACUAGUGUUUAAGGAGGUUUCCGCCUCUUAGUGCCGAAGCUAACGCAUUAAGUGUUCCGCCUGGGGAGUACGACCGCAACGUUGAACUCACAGGAAUUGACUGCGGACCCGCACAAGCGGUGGAGCAUGUGGUUUAGUUCUAGCAUCGCGCAGAACAUACCA